RNAcentral lists this ribosomal RNA (460 nucleotides) under uncultured bacterium. RNAcentral's name for it is "partial 16S ribosomal RNA". It matches the Rfam family "Bacterial small subunit ribosomal RNA", at positions 338 to 795 of the family's 1533-position model. The record is from RNAcentral.
CCUACGGGAGACAGCAGUGAGGAAUAUUGGUCAAUGGGCGCGAGCCUGAACCAGCCAAGUAGCGUGAAGGAUGACUGCCCUACGGGUUGUAAACUUCUUUUAUAUGGGAAUAAAGUGAGGCACGUAUACCUCUUUGCAUGUACCUUAUGAAUAAGGAUCGGCUAACUCCGUGCCAGCAGCCGCGGUAAUACGGAGGAUCCGAGCGUUAUCCGGAUUUAUUGGGUUUAAAGGGAGCGUAGGCGGGUUGUUAAGUCAGUUGUGAAAGUUUGCGGCUCAACCGUAAAAUUGCAGUUGAUACUGGAAGCCUUGAGUACAGUAGAGGUAGGCGGAAUUCGUGGUGUAGCGGUGAAAUGCUUAGAUAUCACGAAGAACUCCGAUUGCGAAGGCAGCCUACUGGAGUGCAACUGACGCUGAUGCUCGAAAGUGUGGGUAUCAAACAGGAUUAGAUACCCGAGUAGUC